GGGGCUUUGCAGACUUUGCAAAGUGCCUACAUACUUUAAGUGGCCUGAAAUUUAUACUUGUGCUUUGGUGUGUGCGUCAAUCUCUUUAAGAAAAUAGCAGGCCCGGCAUCGGUGUGU
Long non-coding RNA from Etheostoma spectabile (orangethroat darter), 117 nucleotides. RefSeq lists it as uncharacterized. The transcript is spliced from 3 exons. NCBI's taxonomy places the organism in Eukaryota, Metazoa, Chordata, Actinopteri, Perciformes, Percidae. The record is from RefSeq and is a predicted model, not a curated record.